This 452-nucleotide ribosomal RNA is filed under the name uncultured bacterium. RNAcentral's name for it is "bacterial SSU rRNA". It matches the Rfam family "Bacterial small subunit ribosomal RNA", at positions 29 to 517 of the family's 1533-position model. The record is from RNAcentral.
AGCGAACGCUAGCGGCGGGCCUAACACAUGCAAGUCGAGCGCAUACCUUCGGGUAUGAGCGGCGGACGGGUGAGUAACGCGUAGGUCAUCUACCCUUUGGUGGGGGAUAACCCAGGGAAACUUGGGCUAAUACUGCACGAGGUCUACGGAUCAAAGCCUUCGGGCGCCAGAGGAUGAGCCUGCGUCGCAUUACCUAGUUGGCGGGGUAACGGCCCACCAAGGGGACGAUGCGUAGCUGGUCUGAGAGGAUGAUCAGCCACACUGGGACUGAGACACGGCCCAGACUCCUACGGGAGGCAGCAGUGGGGAAUAUUGCGCAAUGGGGGGAAACCCUGACGCAGCCACGCCGCGUGGGUGAUGAAGGCCUUCGGUUGUAAAGCCCUGUCGGGAGGGACGGAAUUCUUGACGGUACCUCCAAAGAAAGACACCGGCUAACUCCGUGCCAGCAGCCG